Molecule: non-coding RNA, 90 nt
Organism: Mycena filopes
Lineage: Eukaryota; Fungi; Basidiomycota; Agaricomycetes; Agaricales; Mycenaceae
Source: the annotation of a GenBank genome assembly
GACUCGAUGGCGGAUGGUCCGCGCUUGCUUUCGCUUGCUGGCAGCAUCCGUAUGUAGGCAGGUACACCGGUUCGAUUCCGGGUUGAGUCU